Molecule: unclassified non-coding RNA, 337 nt
Filed under: soil metagenome
Description: partial contains 5.8S ribosomal RNA, internal transcribed spacer 2, and large subunit ribosomal RNA
Rfam family: 5.8S ribosomal RNA (bases 1-120)
Source: RNAcentral
GAUGAAGAACGCAGCGAAAUGCGAUAAGUAAUGUGAAUUGCAGAAUUCAGUGAAUCAUCGAAUCUUUGAACGCACAUUGCGCCCGCUAGUAUUCUGGCGGGCAUGCCUGUCCGAGCGUCAUUUGUACCUUCAAGCUCUGCUUGGUGUUGGGUGUUUGUCUCGCCUCUGCGUGUAGACUCGCCUCAAAACAAUUGGCAGCCGGCGUAUUGAUUUCGGAGCGCAGUACAUCUCGCGCUUUGCACUCAUAACGACGACGUCCAAAAGUACAUUUUUACACUCUUGACCUCGGAUCAGGUAGGGAUACCCGCUGAACUUAAGCAUAUCAAUAAGCGGAGGA